RNAcentral lists this transfer RNA (72 nucleotides) under Blattella germanica (German cockroach). RNAcentral describes it as "tRNA-Pro (CGG) (tRNA-Pro-CGG-7-1, tRNA-Pro-CGG-7-2)". It matches the Rfam family "tRNA". From Rfam's summary of the family: Transfer RNA (tRNA) molecules are approximately 80 nucleotides in length. The record is from RNAcentral. Lineage: Eukaryota; Metazoa; Arthropoda; Insecta; Blattodea; Blattellidae. RNAcentral also lists the same sequence under 1 other name.
GGCUCAGUGGUCUAGGGGUAUGAUUCCUGCUUCGGGUGCAGGAGGUCCCGGGUUCAAAUCCCGGCUGAGCCC